UUUCCGUAGGUGAACCUGCGGAAGGAUCAUUAAUGAAAUGCAAGGACGCUCUUUUUAGAGGUCCGACCUAUUCAUCCUUUCACCCUGUGCACAAAUUAUUUUUACAUCCAUUUUAAACACAUAAACACAUAAAGUUAUUGAAUGUCUAUAGUCUCUUGAUUGAGCAUAAACAAAAUAAAACUUUCGGCAACGGAUCUCUUGGCUCCCGCAUCGAUGAAGAACGCAGC
RNAcentral lists this unclassified non-coding RNA (227 nucleotides) under uncultured fungus. RNAcentral's name for it is "sequence contains ITS1, 5.8S rRNA gene". The stretch from base 179 to 227 matches the Rfam family "5.8S ribosomal RNA", at positions 1 to 49 of the family's 154-position model. The record is from RNAcentral. Lineage: Eukaryota; Fungi.